Molecule: long non-coding RNA, 1089 nt
Filed under: Vulpes vulpes (red fox)
Lineage: Eukaryota; Metazoa; Chordata; Mammalia; Carnivora; Canidae
Description: lncRNA (ENSVVUG00000017854.1)
Source: RNAcentral
CUGGAGUCCCCAGGCUCUCCUUGUGGGUUCCCGGGGUAUCCAAACCCAGCCAGUGAAAAUAAGCAUCUGUAUGCAGCAGGGGCGUCAGAAAUGAGGAUACGUGGGAGGAACUGAGGUUCUAGUGCGGUGAGUCUGACUCAGCACCAGACCCGGGGUCAGGGAGGAGCAGUGGCUCGAGGCGCCACACGCAAUGGUGCCAAGAACCAUCCCCACCCCGGGGCCACCUUGGCAUGUAAGUGCCGCGUGCUACGUGCGGCCUUGCUGUGGGCGCCUGCAGGAGCUCGAGUCAGAGAGGGAGGGAGCAAUCUUCGGGGCGCCCACUGGCAGGUGGGGGCUGGGCAUAUUGAGAUCCGGGGCUUUCACGGAACCAUGGCCGCCCUUGGAUUCCAUCCGGAGAAACCAGGCUCCUGCGGGCUCAGGGGUCAGUUCGACUUUCCUCACCGCCCGACGCGAGUGGCGAGUUACUGCCAUGAGGCCGGGUGCAGAGAACAAUCGUCUGUAGCUCUUGCCUCCCAGAGCCCUGAACGGGAUGGCCGGCCACCCCCAGGGCUGGGCACCCCGAAGGCCCAGUCUUCACCUCUCCGACUCCCUGCGGCUUCGCGCCUCCGGGACAUGGCACCCUUGAUUCAUAAUUUUAGCUCAGCCACUGGCGGAGACCUUGAGAAAGGCGUGCCCCUGACCUUGAUCAGCCCAGGCCUGGCCACUUCUGCCCAAGGGACCAGGCUCCCCCUAACCCCCCCAAUGGCCCCCAGCACAGCGGGGAGGCCCUCACCCAGCUGCGCCCAGGGGACUUCUCAUGGGAUCUCCAGAGCCACCCAACGCCCUUCUGAAGGGCCUCAGCUGGGGAGGGAGGGAGGCCCAGCCCAGCAGGGUGAGGCAGGCCACCCUCCUGGGCUCAGUUUCUCACGCCGCAGCUCCCUGCAAUCCAGCUCCCGGUCUGGGUCGGGCUGUUGUCAAACAGUAACCAGAUCCCGAUGGACUCCUGCUUCGCACGCUCCAAAGGCUUGCCCUUGUCUGCACCAGCGAAUCUCAGCUCUUAACUCUGCAGGACGGGCCCUGGAAACUCCCCCAUGGGGCUUGGGGUACCCC